Molecule: ribosomal RNA, 253 nt
Filed under: uncultured prokaryote
Description: partial 16S ribosomal RNA
Rfam family: Bacterial small subunit ribosomal RNA
Source: RNAcentral
UACAGAGGGUGCGAGCGUUAAUCGGAGUUACUGGGCGUAAAGGGCGCGUAGGCGGUAGAUUAAGCUAGAUGUGAAAUACCUGGGCUUAACCUGGGGAGGUCAUCUAAGACUGAUUUACUGGAGUACUGUAGAGGGUAGUGGAAUUUCUGGUGUAGCGGUGAAAUGCGUAGAGAUCGGAAGGAACACCAGUGGCGAAGGCGGCUACCUGGACAGAAACUGACGCUGAGGCGCGAGAGCGUGGGGAGCAAACAGG